Molecule: non-coding RNA, 219 nt
Organism: Pelobates cultripes (western spadefoot toad)
Lineage: Eukaryota; Metazoa; Chordata; Amphibia; Anura; Pelobatidae
Source: the annotation of a GenBank genome assembly
CCAUUACAUACAUAAAAGUAAAGUGCUUGAAGAACGAAAUAAAAUGACAACAAUAAGGUUGAUAUGCAUAGAGAGAACAAAGUUGGGAGUUGUGGUUUUAUGGGACACGCUGAAAAGUGGGGGUGACAGAUGUGCUGUGGAUUGGUGGAAGAUUAAGUGAAUAAUUUCCUUUCUGGUGCUAUAUGUCUGACUGAGCUAUGUAUGGGGUGUUUAAAUAUC